AGUGAACGCUGGCGGUAGGCCUAACACAUGCCAGUCGAACGGCAGCACAGUAAGAGCUUGCUCUUACGGGUGGCGAGUGGCGGACGGGUGAGGAAUACAUCGGAAUCUACUUUUUCGUGGGGGAUAACGUAGGGAAACUUACGCUAAUACCGCAUACGACCUACGGGUGAAAGCAGGGGAUCUUCGGACCUUGCGCGAUUGAAUGAGCCGAUGUCGGAUUAGCUAGUUGGCGGGGUAAAGGCCCACCAAGGCGACGAUCCGUAGCUGGUCUGAGAGGAUGUUCAGCCACACUGGAACUGAGACACUGUCCAGACUCCUACGGGAGGCAGCAGUGGGGAAUAUUGGACAAUGGGCGCAAGCCUGAUCCAGCCAUACCGCGUGGGUGAAGAAGGCCUUCGGGUUGUAAAGCCCUUUUGUUGGGAAAGAAAAGCAGCAGGUUAAUACCCCGCUGUUCUGACGGUACCCAAAGAAUAAGCACCGGCUAACUUCGUG
This 492-nucleotide ribosomal RNA is filed under the name uncultured bacterium. RNAcentral's name for it is "partial 16S ribosomal RNA". It matches the Rfam family "Bacterial small subunit ribosomal RNA", at positions 29 to 507 of the family's 1533-position model. The record is from RNAcentral.